Molecule: long non-coding RNA, 440 nt
Filed under: Homo sapiens (human)
Lineage: Eukaryota; Metazoa; Chordata; Mammalia; Primates; Hominidae
Description: HSALNT0085093
Source: RNAcentral
UGCAGUGGUCAGCACCUUACUGGGUCAUCUUUUGGAGUUCUUUGGCUCAACUUACGUGAAACCUACUCUAGUAAAUUUAAAGGAAAAGGUAAAUACAUUGGAAGGCUGGAGAGGAGCUGGUAGAAUUUUUAAAAAUCCUGAAAGCCAGACCUCAGAAAGGAUGGGUACAGAAGAAGCAGCGGGGAUUUUCACAGCAGGAACUGGGCUCCAAGCAACAUCUAACUGUGUCACUUUGAUGGAGAAACAGACUGGAUCAAGGCUCACCUCUACACCCUGGGGGCAGUGCGUCUCAUCAGGCCUGCCGGAUAAUGUCCUGGAAUUAGGAAGCAGCUAGUACAAUGAAGGAAAACGGAGGAAUAUACUAACACAGGACGUGGGCAGUGUGGCAAGCCAGCCAAAACAAAAGAGUCCACUCUACCCUUUAAUUAAACAGGUUGAGG